RNAcentral lists this ribosomal RNA (236 nucleotides) under uncultured bacterium. RNAcentral's name for it is "partial 16S ribosomal RNA". It matches the Rfam family "Bacterial small subunit ribosomal RNA", at positions 337 to 570 of the family's 1533-position model. The record is from RNAcentral.
GCCUACGGGGGGCAGCAGUGAGGAAUAUUGGUCAAUGGUCGGGAGACUGAACCAGCCAUGCCGCGUGAGGGAGGAAGGCACAGAGUAUCGUAAACCUCUUUUGUCAGGGGACAAAGGCGGAGACGUGUCCCCGGAUGAGAGUACCUGACGAAUAAGCAUCGGCUAACUCCGUGCCAGCAGCCGCGGUAAUACGGAGGAUGCGAGCGUUAUCCGGAUUUAUUGGGUUUAAAGGGUUC